AGCCGAAACGGCCCUGCGGGGCCGUCUGCUGAGGGUUGACCGCCCAGCACUGAGGAUGGCAGGUCGGA
Molecule: non-coding RNA, 68 nt
Filed under: Subdoligranulum variabile
Lineage: Bacteria; Bacillati; Bacillota; Clostridia; Eubacteriales; Oscillospiraceae
Also listed under: 1 other name
Source: RNAcentral